Molecule: long non-coding RNA, 292 nt
Organism: Capsicum annuum
Lineage: Eukaryota; Viridiplantae; Streptophyta; Magnoliopsida; Solanales; Solanaceae
Exons: 3
Source: RefSeq, a predicted model, not a curated record
AUUACAAAGCUCCUGUCGCCAUAGCACCUAGCUUAAUGCAUUUGAGAAAAAGACGUCGAGUUGUACAGCUAAUCCUUAAUUUUUGAACAAAAUUCAUGUAAUAGGUAUCUGGCACACCAAACGACAUGUUCCCUGAGCUCCUUGCCGGCAUACCCUAUGGCUAUAAAUCUGAUAUAUGGUCGCUUGGACAAAACUGGACUUAUCAACAAAAUAAACCGGGGUUUGUUCUCACCACUUCCGAUUAUAUACUCCUCCACCUUGAAACAGAUAAUAAAAAGCAUGCUAAGGAAUC